UCCGUAGGCGGUGCGGCAAGUCGGAAGUGAAAUCUCUGGGCUUAACUCAGAGGCUGCUUCCGAAACUGCUGUGCUAGAGUGCGAGAGAGGCGAGUGGAAUUGCGGGUGUAGCGGUGAAAUGCGUAGAUAUCCGCAGGAACAUCCGAGGCGAAGGCGGCUCGCUGGAUCGCAACUGACGCUGAGGGACGAAAGCUAGGGGAGCAAACAGGAUUAGAUACCCUGGUAGUCCUAGCCCUAAACCAUCAGGACUUGGGGUUUGCCCUGUACGGGGCAAGUCCCGUAGCUAACGCGUUAAGUCCUGCGCCUGGGGAGUACGGUCGCAAGGCUGAA
RNAcentral lists this ribosomal RNA (330 nucleotides) under uncultured bacterium. Its description in RNAcentral is "bacterial SSU rRNA". It matches the Rfam family "Bacterial small subunit ribosomal RNA", at positions 568 to 898 of the family's 1533-position model. The record is from RNAcentral.